GUCCUGCCCCAUUUAAUCUCAGUCUCCAGAGCAGCUUCCCAUGGAACCCUGAGUCUGAUUUUUCUCGAGUAACCACAUGGUGGGUUCCCAGAGCAGAGCAGGGUGAGCCAUGGUGUUGCAAUUCCCACACAUCUCAGCUUUGAGUAGGGAAGAAGAGACUUAAGAAGCUAAGCCAUCGGGCUGGAAAGGUGGCUCAGCGGUUAAGAGCACUGGCUGCUCUUUCAAAGGUCCUGAGUUCAAUUCCCAGCAACCACAUGGUGGCGCACAACCAUCUGUAAUGAGAUCUGACUCCCUCUUCUGGUGUGUCUGAAGACAGCGACAGUGUACUCAUAUAUAAUAAAUAAAUAAGUCUUUUUUAAAAAAAGUUAAACAGUUAAAGAAGCUAAGCCAUCUUGUCUGGUCUCAAACGAGGAUGUGCCUAGCUCUGUAGUGACCUGAUGUGCAAGGGUGGGCUGGUACCCAUGGGGAGCCUUCCGCUUCUCUGAGCAGGAGGAGCAGGGGAAGGGGGAGGAAGAGCUUAUGUGUGUGUGUAAAGCUGGGAGGCGAAGGCGGGGCUGGGAGUGGGAAGGCUGUGAUGGGAAAGAAGCUGAGCCCUCUCAAUCUUAUCUGUGGCCCGAGAAGAAAUCCAAACACAGUCCUACAGCAGCUCAGAAAGGAGCUUCCGAUGCUGACUGACGUGCCCACAGGUUCCAACUUACCCACCUCUUUCUACAGCAGGCAAACUAGACCGGCCCUCACCCAACCUCAGCUUUCCUUCCCUCAGCAUGCCCAAAACAUGGCUGGAGUCUAUCCACUCUUCUACCCUGCUACUGCCAAUCACUGAAGAGCAAGCCCUGGAUGCCUUCUCCUGAAUUCUACCAUAGCAUCUUAGCAUCUGUUCCAGAAAGGCACAAUCAGUGAUGGGACGACAGGAUGGAAAGAUAGGGCACAGGCACAUGAUUCCUGCAGCUUGUCAGACUACACACAUGACAGCAUGCUACACAUCACCCCCUCCAUGAUAAGUGCAUUGUAAAACAUAAAAUAAGGAGCAAACCUGGUUAUCUUUCUCCUACUUUCAAGGUCUCCAGUUGCCCCUGCCUAGUCCCUGAUGUAGUGAAGCCAACAGUCUUCUGUAACUACAGAGGGGCCCUGACCUCUCUCUUCCUUCAUCUGGCACCAUUUGCCCAACAGCCCCCACUUUCUGUUCUUCAAACACGCAGAGCCUGUUCCCACCUGGGGCCUUUGCACUUUGCCUGUCUGAUUGCCUCAACUGUUCUCCCUAACAUUUGUUGUUUGGUUGGUUGGUUUUGUGUUAAACAUGGCUGGCUCCAACCUUGGCUUAAGCCGCCUCAUUAGCACAGUGCUAGUCCAAGUAUCCUCUCCUCUACCAGUCUGAGUCAUAGCACUUUUCAGUUUGAAUUUCCACUGUUCCUUUACUUCAUUUUCACUGUAUGUUCCCACCAGAUCCUGAGUCCUAAAGAGCAAGAGCUUUUGGUAAUUAAUGGUAGGCAUGAAACAGAACACCAGUUAGUUCAUCAACUAAUUCAAGGCCAAGUUAGGAUACAUGAGCCUCUAACUCCCAGUGACAGGAAGUGGGUAAAGAACUUGUCUUGCAAACCUGAUGUCCUGGGUUUGAUCCCUGGGACUCACAGCAGUGGAAGGAGAGAACCCACUCCACACAGCUGUUUUUGGACUUCAUAUGCUACCAUGGUAUGCAUCUAACCCCUCUGAUUAAAGGACAGUAUAAAACCGAGGUUGGCCGUACAUGCUCAUAAAUCAGUACUUUUGGAGGGGGAGGCAGAACUGUCAGGUCGUCACAGUAGCCUAGGUUAUAUAGGACCCUGUCUUAAAAACCCAGACACACAUUUAUCUGCCCAGUGAAUGAGUGUGGCCUGCAGUCUACAGACUCACCUGGUAGUCAUCAUCUUCAUCUUCACUUUCAUCUGAGUCUAGAGAUUUCUUUUCCUUUUUUGGGUCACCUGAAGCCCCAUCUCCACCUUCUUCUUGUUCAUCUUCUUCCUGUUUCAGAAAUGGACAACCUGCAGAAUCAAAAAUGCAAAACAGACCCCCAAGAAUAUAACACCCACAGCCACCCUCUGAUUGUGGACCUUCACAUUAAGCCUCUGGAAGGCUCAAGCCUAGUAUGACAAAGGUCCUAAAAAGUGGCCACUCAGCAUCAUAGACCAGAAGUCAAAGGUCCUGAUACAGCCAUAAAAGACUCUCUGAUCCUUUAUAGCCAUCUUGCUCAGCUCAGAAAGAAGGACAUCUCACAGGGUCACAAAGACCCAGGUGUGGAGCUAAAAACUGCACCUGCCGGGUUGAUACCCGCUAUGAACAGUUGCCAAAGUAACUUUCCUGGUCAUGCCUUCUUGGUUGUAUGCUCCCAUGGUCACACCUGUCCACAUAUGGCCUUUUGGCACCAAAUGCCCAAGACCACACCUUGGCAGGCUACCAGCAUCUACAUUUCUGUCUC
RNAcentral lists this long non-coding RNA (2452 nucleotides) under Mus musculus (house mouse). RNAcentral's name for it is "long non-coding RNA chr5:145133174-145135626". The record is from RNAcentral. Lineage: Eukaryota; Metazoa; Chordata; Mammalia; Rodentia; Muridae.